GAUGAACGCUGGCGGCGUGCCUAAUACAUGCAAGUCGAGCGAACAGACGAGGAGCUUGCUCCUCGGACGUUAGCGGCGGACGGGUGAGUAACACGUGGAUAACCUACCUAUAAGACUGGGAUAACUUCGGGAAACCGGAGCUAAUACCGGAUAAGAUAUUGAACCGCAUGGUUCAAUAGUGAAAGACGGUUUUGCUGUUACUUAUAGAUGGAUCCGCGCCGGAUUAGCUAGUUGGUAAGGUAACGGCUUACCAAGGCAACGAUGCGUAGCCGACCUGAGAGGGUGAUCGGCCACACUGGAACUGAGACACGGCCCAGACUCCUACGGGAGGCAGCAGUAGGGAAUCUUCCGCAAUGGGCGAAAGCUUGACGGAGCAACGCCGCGUGAGUGAUGAAGGUCUUCGGAUCGUAAACCUCUGUUAUUAGGGAAGAAAAAAUGUGUAAGUAACUAUGCACGUCUUGACGGUACCUAAUCAGAAAGCCACGGCUAACUACGUG
RNAcentral lists this ribosomal RNA (497 nucleotides) under uncultured bacterium. RNAcentral describes it as "partial 16S ribosomal RNA". It matches the Rfam family "Bacterial small subunit ribosomal RNA", at positions 28 to 507 of the family's 1533-position model. The record is from RNAcentral.